Molecule: long non-coding RNA, 960 nt
Organism: Bombyx mori (domestic silkworm)
Lineage: Eukaryota; Metazoa; Arthropoda; Insecta; Lepidoptera; Bombycidae
Exons: 2
Source: RefSeq, a predicted model, not a curated record
UUGUUUCGCGGUAGUUUUUUGUUUUGUCCUUGUAGGCAGACGAACAGUAAAACAUAUAGUGAUUACCGUUCCUCAUGGACGUCAGUAAAGCCAUAGGCAGAACCAAGCCGCUGCCUACCGUUUAAUUCUCUCUACAGGUCUCGUUUGAAGAAGGCGUAUCAUAGCGCUCGGGAAACACCGUGGAGGGUAGCUCAUUCCAAAGCCGGAUGGUACGUGGCAAAAAAGAUCUCUGGAAACGCACUGUGGAUGAACACAGUAGCCAGGUGAUGCCAGUUCGUGUUGGCCUAUAAUACACAAAUUCACUACUCACAAUACAUUAACUAGUACAUCAGUAAUACUAGUUCUUAGAAUAAUUACUGGUUUCAGCGUUUCCUUUCAAAGUCCUUUCAAGAAUCAUAUUACCGGUUAUUCAAUUGCUGUACUGAGCCAGAUCAAUAAAAAAAAAAAAAAUUGGCAAUCUAUUAAAAUGACGUCGCGAGACAAACGUCAAUUUGCGAGAAGGAAGCGAAGAUAGGAGCAUCCAAUUUUCAAUAAGCUCUUAAGCAUGAAAUAUGCCGAAUUACAAAAAAUAAUGAACCUGCCAGGAUCUUUUACCGUUCCUUUUUUAGAGAAAAAUAAAAAUACAUACACGUUUCAUUUACCCGCCAACGCCUUUGAAAGGACCCGUAGAAUGUUCGAGAAAUUCUUAUCGACAAUCGUAUAGCUCAGAUAUUUGGGGUAAAUUUUUGCGGUGUUGUAUUUUAAAACGUAAUUUAACGAUUCUUUCUGAAAUGUUUUAGUUUAAUUAGAUUUAUAAAAUGUUUUGUUGGGAUCAAAAUCAACUAUGUGCAUAGAGACGUACAUUGUAACUUAUAGCUUAUAAUUUUGGAGAUUUUCUUAUGUUCUUUGAUUUAUUACACAUUGUAAACACUACAAACUUGAGAUCGGAAAUAAAAUUUUCAUUGCAUUGAUUCAACGAAA